This 57-nucleotide microRNA precursor is filed under the name Gallus gallus (chicken). RNAcentral's name for it is "Gga-Mir-1553_pre stem-loop". Lineage: Eukaryota; Metazoa; Chordata; Aves; Galliformes; Phasianidae. The record is from RNAcentral.
AGUCCUGUCCUGUCUACCUACUGUCUGUCCUGUCCUGUGGUGGGAGGACAGUGAUGU